RNAcentral lists this transfer RNA (72 nucleotides) under Bos taurus (domestic cattle). It matches the Rfam family "tRNA". Rfam says of the family: Transfer RNA (tRNA) molecules are approximately 80 nucleotides in length. Their secondary structure includes four short double-helical elements and three loops (D, anti-codon, and T loops). Lineage: Eukaryota; Metazoa; Chordata; Mammalia; Artiodactyla; Bovidae. RNAcentral also lists the same sequence under 5 other names. The record is from Rfam by way of RNAcentral.
UCCCUGGUGGUCUAGUGGUUAGGAUUUGGCGCUUUCACUGCCAUGGCCAUAGUUCAAUCUCUGGUCAAGGAA